This 427-nucleotide ribosomal RNA is filed under the name uncultured bacterium. RNAcentral describes it as "partial 16S ribosomal RNA". It matches the Rfam family "Bacterial small subunit ribosomal RNA", at positions 355 to 774 of the family's 1533-position model. The record is from RNAcentral.
UGGGGAAUAUUGGACAAUGGGCGAAAGCCUGAUCCAGCCAUGCCGCGUGUGUGAAGAAGGUCUUCGGCUUGUAAAGCACUUUAAGUUGGGAGGAAGGGCAUUAACCUAAUACGUUAGUGUUUUGACGUUACCGACAGAAUAAGCACCGGCUAACUCUGUGCCAGCAGCCGCGGUAAUACAGAGGGUGCAAGCGUUAAUCGGAAUUACUGGGCGUAAAGCGCGCGUAGGUGGUUUGUUAAGUUGGAUGUGAAAUCCCCGGGCUCAACCUGGGAACUGCAUUCAAAACUGACUGACUAGAGUAUGGUAGAGGGUGGUGGAAUUUCCUGUGUAGCGGUGAAAUGCGUAGAUAUAGGAAGGAACACCAGUGGCGAAGGCGACCACCUGGACUAAUACUGACACUGAGGUGCGAAAGCGUGGGGAGCAAACA